Molecule: ribosomal RNA, 1797 nt
Filed under: Triticum aestivum (bread wheat)
Lineage: Eukaryota; Viridiplantae; Streptophyta; Magnoliopsida; Poales; Poaceae
Description: partial small subunit ribosomal RNA
Source: RNAcentral
AUGCUUUGCCACAUAUUUCAUUUGUCAUUUUAUUAUGUGAGCAUGUUGGUUGCAUAUUUUACUCAUUCGAGGACAUCCACUUGUUGUCCCAUGUCUAAAGCCAGAGCCUCCACUCAAGUACCUUUGGAAUCUGAACCCAAAGAGGCACCUGCAAGAAGGAUUCCCACUUUCAAACCUAGGAAGGUUGCCACAGGGGAAACCAUGAAGUUUACCAUUGAGUCAGAAGAUGAAGCUGUUGGCCAAGACAAGAAGAAAAAGAGAGUCAGAACCACUACUGCCAAGGUUCUUGGCAAUCCCUCUAUGAGGAGAGACUUUGAGGAGGAAGAAGAAGAAGAAGAGGUUGCUGCACUAGCACCCAAAGCUCAGAAGCUUAUGGGUGAUGCUAUCAGAUCAGGGGUUGCUUCAUCAAAACCCAAAGAAGCACCCAAGGCUGCCUCCAAGCCCAAGACUGCACCUAAGAGGAAUACCAGGAACAUAUCUGUUGCUGAGAAGAACAAGGCCCCAGAGCCUGAAACUGUUGCUGAAGGGGAAGAUGAGGUAGAGCAUGUCUUGAGAAAAUUGAAGCCAAAAAAUCCAGAUCAUAAUGAUGCCCAUCCUGUAGCUGAGAACAUGAAGCUGAGAAAGGAUGCAGGACUCAGACAGUGCAGGUUGACUGAUCCUUAUGCAGUCAGGAGGAGAACUGCUAUAGAUUACAGGUUCCAUACAAAGGAACAACAGGAUUUCUAUGAGACAGUGCUGCUGGACAAGAAGCCAAUAGUGUGUGACAUGAGGUGGGUGGACUGGAAGUACAUCAAGGAGAAUGAAGAACACUAUCCUGGUGUGUAUGACAACUUCAGUGCUUGUGGAGUGGUAGACUUUGUUGGGCAGAAGCUCACAAAGUGGAAUGAUGAGCUAAUAAAGCAAUUCUACUCCACAGCACACUUCUAUCCAGAUGGCAGGAUAGUAUGGAUGUCUGAAGGUACUAGGUACCAAUCAACAAUUGAAGAAUGGGCUAAUCUGAUCAAUGCACCUAAGGAGAAAGAGGAUGACUUAGAUGUCUAUGCCAAGAAGAAGAUGGAUCACAACACUAUGGCCCAUAUGUACAGGGAGAUCCCAGAUGCUGCUGUUGAAACACACAAGUUUGGAUUAGUACAUUACCUUCUGUCAGGACUGCCAACCAUCAACUGGAUCCUCAGGCACACUCUCUUGCCCAAGUCAGGUGAUCGCAACAUGAUCAGAGGCCAUGUAAUAAAUCUUCUACACUUAUUUGAUGUGCCACAAAAGUUCAAGGUCAUGAGCCUUAUAGUUGAAACUAUCAAGAGGACAGCUGCUGACCGAAAGAGAAGUUGUGGGUAUGCCCCACAGAUCCAGGAGCUGAUUAACUCCAAGAUGUGCACUGGCACAUACUUGUUGGACAAGGAUCACAUGCCUAUCUAUCCAUACUUUGAGGACAACCAAGUGGUUAUGGAUGAAGAUGAACCAUCUUCUGUUCAAGCACAAGCAAAGAAGGAGAAGGCAAGGACAAAGAAGGCUACCAACAUGCCAACAAUGGAAGAGGCAUCUCAGUACUUUUUGAAGAGCAAACAGGAUCAGCUUGGCUACUUGAUUGCAUCCACUCUGAGGAUUGAGAAGGGGCUGGCCACCUUGACUCAAAACCAGGAGAGCCUGGAGAGGACCAUGGAGCAGAAGUUCUAUGACUUGGACGCGAAGGUUACUAAGAUCCAGUCUGUUGUUGAGCAACUUCAGGAUCAUAUGCAGGAGAGGAAGAGCAAGACAACCACUGAGGCAUUUGCCAGAGUGCCUAGAGCUCAGAGAUGA